RNAcentral lists this unclassified non-coding RNA (5280 nucleotides) under Octopus sinensis (East Asian common octopus). Its description in RNAcentral is "transcriptional adapter 2-beta, transcript variant X4". Lineage: Eukaryota; Metazoa; Mollusca; Cephalopoda; Octopoda; Octopodidae. The record is from RNAcentral.
CCGUGUAACAGAUAGAAGCUUCCUGGCCGUUGCGUGAGGAGGCGAUUCGCUCUUCGCUCUCGUCUCUCUUCUCCCUUCUCAACCGACUUCGCGCUUUGCUCUACUUGUGUGAAAAAACGGAUAACAAUGAAAACCUUUUGUCCGCUACCGUUUAUUGUUUUACAUUUACACGGAAUCGUUCGGGAUUUUUAAAACGAGUGUGACAUAACAACAGUCGAACAACUUUGCUGAAUGGAAGUGAAAGGAGUUUUAAGUAUUUGAGAAAAUUUUUUACACUAAUCGACUUUGGUGUCGCGCCGUAUGGAUGCUUUUCGACGGAAUGUUCAAUUAUGUGACACAUUUCUGGGAUAUCUACACCGAUCGUGUUGAUGUGUCUAUGCAGAGAGUGUGACAAACAUAGACAUCUAUAUAUAUAUUAUAGAUAUAAAUGCGUAGAAAAGCGUUCACGAAGUAUUUCAUUCGAGUUUCCUAUCGGCGGCGUGAGGAGGAAGGCUUUCAUGGAAACCUGCCAGUCGCCUGCAAGUGCAUCAUGGGUAAUACUGACGUCACUACCAGCCAAACAAAAGAUGGCGAAGAAAGUGUGCGAAUGAAUUGCUAUGCUGCCAAUACCCGUUCUUCCUCGACUUCGUCUCAAUGCCGCUCAGUUCGUCCGAAACAAGACGACGACAACGACAACAACAAAACGACGAAGUACUGUCACUACAAUCGCUGUUGUCUGCUCAGCUCCGGCGGCCAAGUUGCUCUCACACCGACCAGUAACAACAGUCCCAGAGCCGUCCCUACUACAACCACAACCGCUACAACAACAUCAAUAUCAACAACAACACCAUCGUCCACGCCAGCAACAGCAUUCGGCAGUGGUGGUGGCGGAGGCGGAGGCGGUGGCUGCGGCGGAGGAGUCCCUUCUUCUUCUUCUCCUUCUUCUUCUCCUUCUUCACCACCUUCAACUCGUCGCCGUCGACGGAGGCGGCUCUGCCUUGGCCGCCGCGGCGGUGGCGGCCCUGCUUCUGACCCUUCUCUCGGCUGUCAUUCUGCAGAAGGCAAAAAGGAGCAGGUCCCUACCUCUGCGAAUCAAUGUUAUCCGAAGAAGCGUUCUGCCAUGGUGAGAAGCCGGUCCUGUUGUUGUUGUCAAUGUGACAUCGUCGGCUUCGCCAUACAAUGCGACCAGUGCAUCGAGAUAGAUCUUUGUUUACAGUGUUUCUCCCUUGGUGCUGAAGUCGGUCCUCAUCGCCGGGAUCACAGUUACCGAAUAUUGAGUGAUAUGAUUGGGCCUUUCAACAUCCAAAAGCCAUGGACUUUAGUUGAAGAAACUAUGUUGCUGGAUGCUGUGGAACAAUAUGGAUUUGGUAAUUGGCAUGAUGUUGCUAACCAUGUUGAAACUAGGAAUGCCUCAGAGUGUCAAGAACAUUAUGCUUCAUUUUAUCUAUUUGGUAGCAUUGGGAAAGCUGUAUCAAUUCCCUGUUGCAGUGAUUUUGGCCUCGACCUUCCUUCAACUGAAGAAUCAGUAUCAAAUCAUAAGUUCAACAACACAGCAAAUAACAAUAAUGAAUCUGAAACUUGUUCUGUGAAUCAUAAAAAAGUACUGAACAAUUCAAUAAAAAAAGAGGAACCAGACUGUGGAGUGGUACCUGCUGAGAAGAACCAUGUCAAGCGACGUAGCCUUCGUUACGUACUUUUCAGGGAUGAUUUUGUAUAUGACAAGGAUGCUGAAUCUUUGAUUAGUUCAUUAUCUGUGGAGAUAGAUGAUGAAGAUAUUGAUAUAGCAUUCAAACUCAGUCAGGUGGACACCUAUCGCCUUCGGUUACAGGAACGAGAACACAGGAAAAGGUUGGCUCGUGACUAUGGCUUAUUUCAGAUAAAUGGGGGCAACAAAUUUAAGUCCCAGUAUGCUAAGAAAAAAACUACAAAACUUGAUAGAGAGUUUCAAGAAAAAUUACGUGUGUUUGCAAAAUUUCACACAUUCCAGGAACAUGUGCAGUAUUAUGAAAGUUUAGCGCGUGAAAGAGACUUAAAAAGUCGAAUUCGGGAAUUAUUCCGGUUCCGAAAGAAUGGGUUGAUGACUUUCGCAGAAGUUUUAGUGUUUAAAAAUAAGAAAUAUAAAAGAGAUAGAAGAAAAAAUAACAACAAACGACUGCCGUUUACAGGAAGGAGGGGAAUCAAUGGCUUCCGGAGAACUAAACGAAAACUUAGAUUUACAAGGAAAAGAACCCGGCGGAAAAUAUGAUAUUUUCUAUUUAAUUAGAAGGAAACUGGCAGCUGUUUUUUGCAUGAAGCAUUUCCUAAAAGAAAUAACAGGUUUAUCUUUGACCGCAGCAUCUCUGAUCAAUCACAGUAUUACUUGAGUGAUGAUGGCCUCAUCGACUGAACUGUUCCUGAUUGCUGAGAUUGUUUUGUUGUUGUUCUUCUGCUGCAGAGAAAGCACCAUUGUUGACUCUGAAGUGUUUCAUUUCACUGUCUCAUGGGAACUGCAAAGCAUUGCCAUUGGUGUGUGAUGGAGAGAAUCAACAGCAAACCUUUCUGCUGCUGCACUGCUGCUCAACUAGAAGUGUUGAACGUGUAACAUAACAGGUCUGGUCAAGGCUGGCUCCACGGUGACAACUGGGAGUGUUAAUAGUCUUCUGUUAUAGAACACAAGCCAGUUGAACUGAACGGGUGGGAGGGCGGGGUGGAGUGCUCUUUCCCCACCAUACACACUCACACCCCUUUCCUACCUACAACACAUCUGGAUGUGCUGAUAAGACUGCCGUAACAGGUUUUUGCUUGAGCAAAGUCAAGCAGAACCAUAGCUGCUGUCACAGCAACUACCAACAAUUACAGACAGUUUGCUGUGCUUGGUCUGUAACCCAAUAUCAAAACCUGAUCAAACAGACCUAUCGUUGAAAACAUUCCAGUUUUGAAUAUCUAGUCUUUAUUUUAGAUAUAAUGCAUACAGUGUUAUUUUAUAAGUCCUUUCUUUUUUUUGUUUAAGAUAGCAAGGUGUGAUUUGAGGGGUGUUUGGUUGUUAAAUCUAACAGCUUACACAUUUAUAUAGAAACUCUUUCAUUGAUUCACUAGUGCCACAAAUCUCAAAUUGUUUCAUGUCUCCCGGGUGCUAAAAGUAAUCUGUUUACCUCUUUUGUUGAUUCAUUCUGUGUUAUAAUCUUCUUGUCCAGGUAGCCAACCACUGGAAUCAACUAAUCAUUUGUGCUCAUAAAUGAGUAUAGAUUGAGGGCCUUGUGCACCAGGGUAAUGCCAGGAUGGAAGUGCAAAUGGGAUGCUCAUUUUGUUAUGAUCAUCAAUGCUCUAAAGAUAAUUGGAGGACCAUAACUCUCUCAAGCUCCAUCAUUGCUCAUCCUUAAAUAAAUCCAGAUGUUAUCUUUAUAUAUUUGAUGCCAUAUCAAUUUUCUGUGCUAAUUUAAAGCUCCAACAGAUAGAGUUUUAAAUUAGAAUACUGCUGUCCUGGCAACCCCUGAACCCAAGUUCAUAACAAUUUUUGAAAUUCUUUAUUAAGAACAGUCCUGGUUGAGUUGGAGAAGUUCUAAACACACAUUUUGAGCCUGAAGGUUUAGGGACUCAAAAUUGUAGCUAUUCAUAGGUUUCCCUUCUUAGUUGCUAUAAAUAAACCAAAUCUUUGAUCCAACAAGACCUAGCAAAGAAGCAAGUAAGAUGGGUUGUAAGUCUAUUUUAAUACUGCCAGCAUAUUUUCUUUGGAAGUGCAUUGAUUUGUAACCUCUUCAAUAGCUCUUCCCUUAUAACCCGAGCUGACUGACUUAGUUAUGGGUCUAUGGUGACAGUCCCCUUUUUGAACCUUUUACAUAAGAAGCUAUCCUACCAUUUUGAUGGAAUGAAAACUUCAUCCAAAAUACGUUGAGUUGUUUCCCCUUUGGUGAGGUUAGGCAGGUCAGCUGAAGACUGGCAUUUCCUCAAGUCUUUGAUUGUAUGUAAGGCUUUGGAAAUAUAUCAAGGCAAUUAGAAAUUUGAAAUUUUCUAUCACCCAAAACCUAGGGACAUUAUCAUUGAGUAAUCGAAUUAUCAUGUCAUCAUAUUUGAUAUUAUUUGUUAUUAGUUUUUUUUUUUUUUUUUUUUUUUUUUUUGGCAGGUGGUUUCUCUCACAUACACACCUCAGAAUUGUCAUGAGAGAUACCUAUCAAGUCUAACAAGGGCUUCCCCCCCCCCCAACCAUUCAGUAAACAACUUGGAGCCUUUUCUUUAGUGAUAUACCUGCCGGAAGUAGCAGUCAUAUCUCUUUCAAAUCAUACCCUACUGUCUUUAAAAAAAAAAGGAAAAAAACCGGAGGGACACAUUGGAGAAUGUAGUCCUAGAUACACUUGGUGGGGUGGGGGAAUUAGGUUUUCAAACCUGGAGAGUCUUUGAUCAUAGGUCAACUCAGUCGGGGCUGACUGAAGGCUACACAUAACAGGUACAAAUGCUGUCUGCUGGACCAAGGGGCCACUGCCAUAACAACAAACAACUGGAUGUACCGUGACAGUCUGCUAUAACUACUUAUCUGUUUGGUGGUGGUGGUCAGCUGUCCUACUCCCCUCUUUCUUGCAUGGUUCUGUCAGGGCUAUGCCACAACAACAACCAAACAUGUUAACAAUAUUGCUCUCAACCCCACCUCACUUCUCUUCCAUCCCUCUUCUCCUUUUUAUCUCCUAUUUUCCUCCUUUUCAAUAUAUAUAUAUAUAUAUAUAUAUUAGUUAUUGUCUUUAUUACUAUCCGACUGUUUCUCUUUUCUCUCUUUUUAUUUUACUUCCAACUCCGUUUUCUCUUUGUGUUUCUUUACCCACUUCUUUGUCCCAUCUCUCUUCCCCUCAACCUUUUGUCAUCUCUCUUCCACUUUUUUUUUUUCACUGCCCUCUCUUUCUCAUAACAGUUACUGCUGUUGGUUGUGACUUUUAAAACUUUCUGGAGACACUGUGGAAAUUUUGGAUAAACCAAUGUACAUAAAUUAUUUACUUCAGUGAAGUUACCACUUGAUGGGUGAAAGCCUGUUAGUCUGACAUAGUGUAUGUACCACACAAUGAAUGUUAGUGUAUGUAAGCAUUGAUGUAAAUUUAGGAGAGUGUGUAAUAUAGUUUUCAUCUUUUCCUUUUUUCACAUCACUCAUUUAUUGCUACUCACAAGCAAUAACUUUAUUUAUUGACUUAACUCUUUAUAAACUGCAAAUUUAUAUCUGUUGCAAAAGCUGUUACCUUAUAAGGCUUUCAAUUAAAACCACAAGUUAUUACAAAAAAAAAUUCAAUAAAAUAAAAAUAACAACUACAACAACAAAAAAUGCAAGGUCUUUUAAUAACUAUA